CCUCAGCCUCCCAAAGUGCUGAGAUUACAGGUGUGAGCCACCAUGCCCAGCCCUAUUUUAAUUUCUUUGAAUUGAGAACUAACACAAUUCCAAACACACAGUAGAUAUUCAAUAAACCCUGGCUUUGUCGUUUAUUGAUUAUUUGAUCUUGGGCCUGUUACUCGCUUUAUCUAACCCUCAGCCUUCUUAUUGGUAAAAUGAUAAUAAUUGCCACCUUGCAAGGUUGUUGUUAUAAAUAGAGAUAAUAUAAGUCAAAGGUCUUGUAUAAAAUAUUACAAGAGGCAUCUCUACCCCAAAGUAACAUAUCAUCUAGUUGGAGAAAUUGAUACAAAUUAAAAGAGGCAAAUUGGUGUAGGGGAAGAAUACUAACAAGGAGCAGGAAGACCUAAGCCUCAUCUCAACUUAGCCUCUCAACACACGAGUGACUCUCCUCCUCGUUCUUUUUCUAGGUCUUACUUUCCUCACAUCAAAUUAGAGGGAGGCGGUGAGUGUGGAAUAGAGAAUCCCAAGAUCUUUUUCCACACAAUGAUUCUAGAAACAGAAAAUAAAAACAAGAGUAGAGAUAUGUAAUUCUGAAUUUUGAGGAGUAUAAAGAGAAGGCAGUUAUUCCAGGAAAUUUUUUGGAAAAUAUGAUUUAAGACAACUCUUCAAGAAAUUGAAGAACACAAACUGGUUGGAAAACAGGGAGUCGGGUGGUGGGGGGAACAAAAGAAGCACAGACAAAGGAAGAUUAACAUCCUGGGCAAAAUCUUGGAGCAGCUGUCAAAAAAAAACCCAUCAGACCCCUGGUUAGAUAUGGGGAGUUGGGGCCAAGAUGCAGUGGAACAGGAAAGGGAGGACCAGUUGAUGUAAACCUCAAGCCCUAGGCCUUAGAAUUUAGAUUUGAACUGAUUGCCGAUAGGGAGCUGCUGAAGGUUCUGAACGAGGGAGUAACAGGGUAAUAAUAGCAUUUAUAUAAUAGUCGCUAAUGCAUUUGGGGAAGUAUAUUGUGGCAGCUACUCUGCUGUCUAUAUAAAAUGCAGAUGCUAGAGGCAGGGAGACCCAAAAGGAUCUCUGGAAACUCUUCUGUAGGAUCCAGAUUUGAUUAGCUUCUUCACACCCUGGGAUCCAGGAGGGAGGUAAUGGUAUCCUUGACUAGGAUAAUGUACUACCGGGCUGCAGACAGGUACCAGUCCAUGGCCUGUUAGCAACCAGGCUGCAGAGCAGGAAGUGAGCAUCGGGCAAGCUAGUGAAGCUGAGCUGCGCCCCCUGUCAGAUCAGUGACGGCAUUAGAUUCUCAUAGGAGCGUAAACCCUAUUGUGAACUGUGCAUGUGAGGGAUCUAGGUUGCACUCUCUUUAUGAGAAAUGUAAUAUGCUUGAAUCAUCUCAAAACCAUCCCCACCCUGCAGCCCCCAGUCCAUGAAAAAUUGUAUUCCGUGUAACUGGUCCCUUGUGCCAAAAAGUCUGGGGACUGCUGGUGUAGUUGAUUGUUUUAUUGAAGAAAAUAUUCAUUUACACUGAUGCAUGCUGGGCUUAAUUCCUAGGUGAUGGGUUGAUAAGUGCAGCAAACCACUAUGGCGCACGUUUACCUAGGUAACAAACCUGCACAUUCUUUACAUGUAUCCUGGAAGUUAAAAUAAAAUAAAUAUUCAUUGAAUCUCUCUAGGAGAUUAUUAUGCAUUCAUGAGCCCUGAUUUCAGGCUUGGCCAUGUGACUUGCAGUGCCCCUAUUAUAAAGAGUAUUGUGCCUAUCAUCCUCUUGAACUCAGAAGUCAUGUGGCUUUCUUUAGCCGAUAAGAUAUGAGUGGAUGUGAUACAUGCUACUUCCAAGCAGAAGCUUGAAGAGCCACUUCAAGGUCUCACCAUCUUCUCUUUUUCUUCUGCCGUGAACCUGGUAAUGUUACUGAUAGGAGCUGCUCCUUCAGCUUAGGUACUGAAGUGAAAGGGUGUGGGGUAGAGCUGCAGCUGACCCGCAGCUAACACAUAUUUGUAAGACAUAAACCCUGGCAUCGUAACCCACUGAGAUUUUGGAAUUGUCACUGCAGCUUAUUUUAGCCUUAGCUGAUGGAUGUGGAUGAUGGCUGUAAAAAAAGAUGCCAUUAAAAAGAAAAAAAAGAGAGAAGAAAGUCGCUAAUGCAAUGAGGAAGAGCUGAGCAGCAUCUCUUGGGUUCAAGGCAUUAGAACAUUACCUCCUCAGUGAUGAGGGUCCUAUUAAAGGUUUGGAGGUGGGUGGGAAACAAAGGGAUCAUGAAUCCUGUUGUUGACAGCCUGAGGUAGAGCUGAUAUUAGGACGUCCAAAGGGAGAGACCUUGGAGGUCAGGCCUCCCCUGACUUCCUUCCCACUCCUCACUUCUCUCAUUUGAUCCUGGUAUGAGGAGGAGGGGGCUAGAGCCAAUGGAAAGUACCAUCUCUGGGCUUCCAAAUGGGAUUGCUUAGCAUAUGAAAUGUCAGUCCUAGAGAGAGUAUUAAUGACUCUGGGCAAGGGGUGAAGUAUGUGUGAGCUGGAGAAGGGCACAGGAAUGGAGAGGGAGGGGCAUCACUGAGAUCAAAGUUGCAUGACUCAUUUACAGACUUACUACUAUUUGAUAUCACAUUUGCCCUUUAUAUUACACCUAGAAUCUCAUAUUCUCAAUGAAACUUCCAGAACUGAAAUCCAGAAAUUAGUCUCUACUCACAACUUAUCACAGAGCCUGUCUUAUCUUCCAUCUAAUUGCCAAGCCCAUUUAUCUAUCGAAAUAAUACUGAUGAUAAUAAUAAUAGUUAUUUGGCAUCUACUAUGGUACUAUGUACCUGGUGCUGUGCUAAGCAUUUUCUAUACAUUUAAUCCCAACUGAGAAUGGGUCAUUUGUUAAGUUAAUGUCUCUGAGCUCAAGGCCCAGCCCUCCAUACUCCGCUUUGUGAAGCGGAAGCUGAGACUCUGCAAGUCACACUGAUGCCUUGCUGCCAGCCGCUUCAUGUCAGGCUCUUCAAACAGGGGCAGCAGAGGAGGACUGUGAGUCUUGGGGAGGGAGAAGGACCUGCACCUUCUUGUCUGCUUCCUGUUUUAGCAAUGUCUCCCCAGCAAUGCCUCCUUGCCCUGGCAGUGGGUUCAUUCCAGUAGCAAUAGUGGAAUCUAGUUUGCUGGUUUUUCAACCGUCACAGAGCCAGUCUCAUCAUGCCCACUCAACAACUCUGUACCAGCCCAGCAAGGCGAGUCCUCAGAGGUCUGGGUGUCAGCCCUGCGGGGAGCCUCCUCUACGUUUCUCAGUUUUAGUAAUUCCAGCUUCCUUGCCUUUGUUCUCCAGUCCUCAGGGUGGCAGCUACUUCCUGCAGUUCCCACCUCAGUAAUAUCUCAGAUUCAGCGUUUUACCCUUCCAGUUGCCUAGUUAACAGUUGCCUAGUUAACAACUUUCUACCCACUCAGUGAUUCUUUAUGUUUAAUUCUUUCUGUUGAAAGAACGUGUUGUUUCUCUCUCCUGCUGCGACCCAUGACUGGUGCUCUGAGGUAAAUGUUACUCUUUCCCUCGUAUAAAUAAUGUCACCAAAGCUUAGUAUUAUGCCCACUGUCAUACUGCUAAUAAGUGAUUCCAGUCAGAAUUCAGAUCUUUCUUUUAACUCCAGAGCCCUGGUCGUAACCGCUCCCGUCCCUGCUUCCUUUGGGGUCUCACGAUCUUGCUCACUUUGUGUCUGGUGUCUGCCAUCACUGGGCGACCACUUUGGAGCAGGCCCUGCUCUUUGCCCCACCCUCUGAGUGCAGGGUGGAAGGCCAGGGGGUGCGUGGUGUAGAUGACAUCACUGCAGCCCUGUCGGGACCAGAGAGAUGCCUGGCUGCUGCUGGUGCCCACAUCCACGGUGUUGUGAGUUUAGGACUUGGCACCCCAGGACCCCCUUUGCAGCCCUUGACAGAGAGCUCUUUCUCUCUCCUCAGCUUGCCCUGGCAGCUUCGGAAGCAAUGUGGGGCACCAGCAUGUGGACAGCUAGCAGCCUGGGGAGGGAACCAGGCUGGCCAGAGUGGACAAGCAGCGGGGCCCGCUGGGAACUCCCCAGUGUUUGGCUUCUCUGUUCAGGGAGGAAGCACACACUUUAAAUCUUAGUCCUCUGAAUAAAGCCAUCCCAGUUUAACGUGGUUUUGCUUAGCCCCAAGCUGGAGUGUUCCUCUUCGAACAAAAUAAACAGAAUAAUGCAAACAUUCCCUCCCCUCGGCCAUCAGUUUCCAGGCCUGAGAGUCUCCUGCAGGUCUGAUGUGGUGGCCUGUGCUGUGGGUGAGGCUGCCCUGGUGGAAUGUGGGUGAAGGGUGAGCCUCAGCCCGGCUCCCUCCCAGGCUUCCAGGCAGCAUGACCUAACCCUUCCCUGCACACACCUCAGAAGAGCCCGGUGGAGGAAAAAGUCAGGCUCAGUUAACACCAGGCCUAACCUGGCCCGCCCUCACCUCAUGGUCCUCCUGUCUACUCCUCCUGGCCCUGGGCCAGGGAUGAUCCAGCUGACACCUGGAAGGUGGUUGAGGGUGGCCUGGAAGGCAGGCAGGACCCUCAUGACACUCACAGUGCCCUUGUGCCUGACUUCACAGAUUUAGAGAGAGAGGCUGGAGAAUCAGUUACCUGAAAACAACUCAGAAUUCUGGAAGGACUGGAUUGUUCACCGUGCUCCUGAUGUUCAUAAACUUUAUUAAUUGAACAAGUCAAAGUGUACUGACUGCUUACAGUGUGCCACUGGCAGGAAGGUGCCAGCUCAAUUCAGAUGUCUUGCAUAGCAGGGCACUUGGGGAAACAGUUUGUAUUGCCAACAUUCGACAUUGUAGAUUUGUCCACCUAUUACGAUAGUUUCCUAGAAGACGAAGGUAAAGUGUCUUGAGGAAGGGGUGCCUUUGCCUAAUUUGCAUAAAGGCACCAAAUAGGCACUAGUAGUCUACUAGGACCAUCCCCCUUCCUCACGCACAUACCCUUGCUGUUGAUUUCUGUGUACCUGUUGGUAUUUGUACAUAAUAAAUACAUACAUAAAAGUUCUUGUUCCCUUCUGGAGAGGGGAAUUGGGGAAGAAGCUGCUGAGGAGAAAAGUAGGGAAGAUGGAAGGGCUGGCAUGCCUCCCACUCUCUAGCCCAGUGGUCAUGGGGCCGAUGGCCAAAGCAGAUUAAAAAACUCUUCAUUGAGUCUCAGUAGUGAAUUGCCUCGGGGCCCAGGGGCAGGUUGCUGGCAAAGGGGCCCUCCUUUCCUCUGCCCAGCAUCCAGUACUUUUGCAGCACCGGAGAACUGCAGGCCUUGGGGACAGGCAGGGACCGCACCCUUGGCAGGAACCCUCACUACCCAAGGAUGGGCAGUUGCAGGGAGGUUCUCCAUAGCUUAUGAGUGAGAAACAUGGAGCCGUGGGAACUCAGAAUGAAAGAUGCUAACUGGAGAUUGUGGUAAUUCCCUGUUUCUCUGUGGGCAUAUCUACGAGCCUCACAGACACUGGAGAUAGCCACCUAGCAAGAACUGGGGGCGUGUGGGGGAAGCUGGGAUCCCGCUGCUUUACAUUCAGCAAAUAUUUAGGGAGUGUUGGGGAAGGUGGAGCUUGUUCUGUCAUCUAGUGUGGUCAGGGUGGGCCUUUCAUAGGAAGUGACUCUGACAGAGUAGCCCAACAUGGGGCGUGGGCGCAUUUCAGGAGGAGGAACCAGCUGGUUGCACAUCAGGCUGUUCUGUGUGUCAAGAACCGCAGGCUAUCCAGUGAGGCUGGGGCAGUGAGUAUGGGGUAGGGAUGCAGAGGAGGCCAGAGAAAUAGUGGGAAACCAGAACCUUGAAGGUCCUAGACAGCACUGAGGUUUUCCUCUCGAGAUGAGAGGGUUUUGAGCAGGGGAGUAACAUGGUUUGAUGUGUGCAGAUAAAGGCUUUUAAAUCAGCAGUCAUUGCAGGUUUGUUCACAGCAGUCUUUCAUAGCGGUACUAUUAUUAUCCCCAUCAUAAAAGCAGGAAAGCUUUGCUUAAAGGAUUUAAGAAAUUUACCCAAGGUUAGCCAGAGUGUAAUGGAAGUUGGGAUUUGAACCCAACCAGAAUGAGCCCUGCUUUUAAUCACCGAUGGAUGCUGCCUCUCCAUGGCUGAAAAAACUCAUCAUGCUGCAAGAACCUUUUCCUUUAAGUCCAGUACUAGGUGUGACAGCACCCUCCACACAUGCCAAGACCUUUCUGACUUCCCAGGGAUCGACUUCACUCUGCAAUCGUCCUUCUUAGUGAUUGGAGCACCCAACUGUUGGUAUUCUCUCAGGCAUGCAAAUGCCUUUGGGUUAAGGAUCUUAUUUCAAUCUACAGGGAAAUAGGAUUCAGAGACCUAGUCCCAUUAAGGCCUAUACAUCUAUUUAAUUAAAAACAAGUUCAAAUCUUGAGGUUUGGGAAAUUGCCUGCCUAGUAAUGCAAAUCUAUAAAUUCCACUUCCUGCUGCUUCCAGGCUGACUGUAAACACCCUGAAAAAUCAGCCUCACUGGAAGUGUUUUGACCAUUCCACUUCUGGCUCAAUAGGCAGUAAUAAAUAAAAAUGAAAGUGGUGAGAGAAAAACUAGAUUAAAUUAAAACUAGCCCUUCACAGGGCUCAGCUCAGGGAGGGUGGUUAAGGACUUCUGGCUUGUUCCUGUCAUGUCUGACGUGUCUCUUUAAUUCCUAAACCCGAGUUCUCAGGGUCUGUACAGCCACCUCUUAUCUCCCUGAUGACUCACCUUCAGCUUUGAAGUUAGCAGGGACAGAUGAGUCAUCAUCAUUUCAGAAGCAACAACUGAUGCAAAGAAUCUCAGUUUUGCUAUCAAACUAGGGCAGUUAUUACAUAUUCUCAACCAAAAGCAAGCACUAAGCCCUGGCAGGGUCUACCCGUGGAGUACUCAUGGGACAAGGGUGCAGGAUAUUUGAGACUUGCGGUGUUCUAGGAAAUCUAGUUGCAUAGGAGCCACAUAUUCUGUGAAUUUGAAGUCAGAAUCUUGGGCAGCCUGAAUUCUCUAAAAGGUCUUGCUACCACUUAAGGACGGAUACAUUUCCUGAAAGACUCAUUGCCUUCCUGGUAAUAGCAGCUGUAGUGAUACAAUAGUAACAAUUACAGCACACCCCAAGGUGCUGCAAUCCCAAAACCAUCUGAGUUUGCUUGACAGUCCCUGGUAUUCAUUUGAUGAAGUCAAGCUUUGAGAUAAGCACACUUCCCAGAGCUGGUGGGGAUACUGCCUGGAUUCUCGUGGACUAGUGUGCCCAGCUAGUCUGUUGAGCAGGCCCAGGGAGGGCUGUCUGUGGAAAGGUAAACGAGAUGCAGAUGUGAGCCCCUCUGCCAACAUCUGCCAACCCAGUGAACACUGUCAUCAUCUUUUAUCACAAAGACCCACCCUCCCACUCACCUCCUCCAACACUAACCUAGGGCUCUCUUUUAGGUCUAUUCAGAGAUUCCUGGGCUACUCCACGAUGGCUAAUAGCCCAUUGCUGGCUCUCAAGUUAGCUUUUAAGUCUUCAUCCUGCCCACUGAUGAACUUUUAUUCCAAUUGCUUAGCAAUGGCAUUCUCAGGGCUCAAUGGUCAUAGACUCAUGCUUUCUGCCGUUCUGGUGACACAGCACACAAACACACUUGUGCACACAUCCCACAAACCAUAUAUACACAUCACACACAGAGGUUUCCAAUAAACCAAAUGUUGAAUCUUUUCCAGAGGGUGAGCAACUAGCCCAUGCCAAAAGAUAGAAUUGUUUCAUUAUCUUCUUAUUUUACUUUGAUUCAACUCUUAUUUCAGUAGAAUUGUUUUAUUUUUCCAGGGAGGGUUACUGUGAAAGGAACCUGAUUCUCGCUGUGUCAUUAGGAAUGCGUAUCUUUCACACCAAGCUCCAUGGUUUUGCCUCUAGAGAUGAGCUCCUGAGUCAGAAAGAAAGCUCAUUUCUUUUGGGAAUUUGAUUCUUUCAGGCAACAGAUGCUGAGUGCCUACUGUGUGCAAGAUCCCAGCUAGGUUGUUCAGGAUAUAAGAAUAGAUAGACUAAACUCUAUGCCUUCUGAUAAACAAAUCUUAAAUUUCUUUGCUGGCAACGUGAAAGACAAGUUACAUAUGUCUAUAUUUAACUCCUAAAUAGAUAACUUCAUGGAUCCAAUCUCAAUGAAACCCUUUUGCCACAGAUCUUUUGACAACUUGGGGCUCUUUUCUGUGGGAAUUUACAGCGCCAUUGCAAUGAAGGAAACUCUUUUCCAUAUUCUGUAAACUUUUGCAGAGUGCAGCCCUAGGGCAGAAGUGAUUACAGCAAGCUCCUAUUCAUUAAUUAUGCCUAUCUGAGUGCAGACACUGAGCGGCCAGUGGGCUUGGAGCUGCAUUUGGUAGUCUGUGGAGGGCUGGGUUCCACAACAGGGCUAUUGUUCUGCUCACUGUUGCCUUUGGCUCCCUUUUGGCAUUGAUUCCUAAUUGCCUCCCAACUGGGUAGGUCUGAACCUGUUUUCCAAACCUCCUUGGCAGGUAUGUAACCAAAUGUCCCCAGGCCUCACCAGCCUGCGGGAGCCAAUUAGGUACCACUUUCACUGAGAGUUAGCUAGUUACUCGCUCCACCUGUGUGACUCUUGUCCUUCACACCUCCCCUCUCUCAAAGUUUGUCUGCUUCUUUGGGGGGAGUCCACAGAAUGUACCAAGUAGGCAGAGAAAAAGUUUGCAGCUCUUGGAUGUUCAUGGCUUGUCAACCAUUUGAAACUGCCCCUCUGUCGGUGUCCUGUGUCUCAAUUCCCCUGCUCAGGGCCAAGUCUCUGGCUCAGCCCACCUAGCGCAGGUGGCUGAGCUGCUGGCUGGGGCAGCCUUGAGCUUUCAGGUGCCCAAGCCAUGCAUAACUCCCUGGGGACCUCAGGGAUGUGUUUGGUGGGCUGUGACUGUGGCACAGCUCAAAAGAAAGCACUGUGACAUCUCUCAUGAAAAUCUUUCCUGUGAUGCUUCUCUCUUUCAGGGCUUGUCUUCCAGGGUCACGAAACUAGCCCUUGGCCUCUGCCCCACCUGCAAAGCGCCACAGAGUUCCGUGUUCCCUGCAUUCCUUCUUGUGCUGUGGUCCUGCCACAUUCCUCGCAGAACUGGGGAAAACACCCUCACCCCACCCUGUGCAGUUUUUUUAUAGUUUGAGUCCCAAAGCUGCUCUGCUUGCACCUGAGGAUCUAAAAUUUUCUGUGCUGACAGCUCCUCAGUUUCUGGCUCUGACUUUGCUCUCCUUAGGGGCUCACACCCUACAGGGCCUCCCUUCACUGUCCUGCAACUCCCCCAACUCUCCCUUAGUGCCCAUCCACUGUUCAUUAAACUCCUCCUUGCUGCUCCAGCUAAAAAUCAAGAGGAUGCAGAUCAACUGUGCAAAUAAAUACUUGGAGACUGUGGAUGGCUUCUAGUCUCAAGUGGCCUUGUUGCAAGAAAAGCACUGAGCUUCUAACAUGCAUAUUCCUUUUUCAGGCUUUAGAUAGAAAGCAGCUUACAGCUUCUUGACAGCAAGGUCCUUAACUCCCUUCCUUAAUUUCCCCACCCUGUUUCCUAAAAGGGUAAAAUGAGAUAGUGCGGUGAAAGUUAUACCUAAAUUGCAAAUGGCCAUGUCAGUGUUGUGUAAGGUUAAAACCUUGCAUGCAUCAAUGCUCAAGAGAUACCAAUACUGAAUGACUAGAGGCCAUGACAUUUAUUAUUUUUCUAGUAAUCCGUUAAAAUAUUUAUUGAGCAUCUAUUAUGUGACAGUUUCUAUUCUAGACAUGGAAGAUAUAGGGAUGAAAAAGAAAGAGAUCCUAAUGGGGAAAGAUGAAUGCUAAAUAAACUAGUUAAAAACAAUAAAUAAGAAAAUAUCAGACUGUGACAAAUGGUCUUCAGAGAACUGACUCAGAGUAAUGUGAUGGAGGGUGACUACACGGUUCUGUUAGAGCAGGAAACCAGGUCAGGCCUCCCUGAGGCAGUGACAAGUCGAGAUCAGAUUGCAGGAGGAGUCAUCCAGGCAAGGUCAGCGGAAAGAGGACUCUAGGCAGAAGAGCAGCCUGGGCAAGGAGCGGGGGUGAGCUUGGUGAGCUGUGAUGAUGGAGUCCAGGAAAGGGGGAGGCUUUGUUUUUCUGCUUUUUACAUAAUGGGAAGCAAUUAGAGUUUGAAACAGGGGAGUAACAUAGUCUGGUUUAUGUUUAAAAAAGAGAACUUAGGCUGCUGUGGGAGGAAGGGGUUGAAGUGGCUCAAGAGAGGCCUGGAAGACCAGGCAGGAGUCUAAUCUGGUAGGAUGGUGAUGGGGCCAAGGUGACCAGAUCCAGCUUGGAGAGCAUAGACAGAUUUGGGGUCUUUGGAGGUAGAGCUGACUGGACUUGUUGAUUGAUUGGAUGUGGAAAGCAAGGAAAGAGGGGGCUUCAAGGUUCCUGGGUGAUAACUAUAGAAACCAGAAGCCUCUUACUAGAUUGGGAUGCAGGUGGCCUGCAUCAGGGUGGUGACCAAAGUGUUAGGAGAGUGGCUUAUCCUACAGGAGGGGGAAGGGGCACUAGCACCUUUCUUUUUCUCUCUGACAUGUGUGGGUACUGCAGGAAGAUUGGAGAGAAGCUGCUAGAGCAAUCAGUUGGUUUCAGAUACUUAAAAAGCAGCUUUUGAAAGCAAACUAUAGCCAGUUCCACAGGCUAGAAAGUCAAAUAACUUUAAAAUAGCCCAAGGCAGGUAUAGUGAAUUAAACUGGCCAAAAGUUCUGUUUACUGUCUGAAAUAUCCAUGGCAGCGGUACGGAGAGUUCAGGAGCUGGGCUGGGCUUGGGGAUUUCUGAUAACAGUCUUCACCUUGGAAUUUAAUUUGUUUUACUUAAGGGUAAGCCUGAGCACUAUUCUCAUGAAAACUACCUGCCCAAUCUAUUCUUUAAGGACCUGAAAACCCAGACCCCAAAGGAAUGUUCUGCUUUGCCAACAUUUACUGUCCCGGUAUUUGCUGACUUCACAAACAGAACUUGAUGAAAAUAUGAAAAGACCUGAGAAAGGGUGAAUGUAUGAGAGAAAGACCCUCUGGGAGCGCAAGGAAUUUACAGAUCCCUGAAUUUUAUCACUGUAGUUACUUUUAAAUUAAAGACAAUAACUGUUCCUCCCAGGUUCUCAUUGACAAAUAAGAAUGCCGAUGUCACUCAAGCGUAUGAUAUGAUAAUCUUUCCCAGAACUGGGAGUAUCCAGAACUAACCAGACAUGGGAACUGUGUUUUUUCAAUGUCUGAGACUUUCUCCUAAUUCCAUCUUAGUCACACGUAGUUACUCAUUACCUUGAAGGGCAUUAAGAGUUUAUCCAUGGCCACUGUACAUUUUGUGCUGCUUUGUUAAAUCAGGAAAAAAUGCAGACAGCUGAGUCAUAGUUUUCAAUUAGUCUUUCAAUUUCACCAGGAGCAAAGUUUUUUAAUAUCUUUAUCAAUUUUGUUGCUUUUCAUAUGACUCUGAUUACAUACUUUGCAGAAUAAUCCAGCCUUUUGCUUAAGUAUAUUAAUAAUGCAUAAUAUAAAUGGAGAACUACAUUAUCAAAGUACUCUUAAACAGAGGUGAAAACUUGAAAUCCAGCAAGAUUUAGUGACUCACAUUCAUAGCCUAUAGAGAUGUGACAGAGGAAAGGAGAAUAAGAUAAUUAAGAACCUUGAAAUCAUGACAGGGCUUUAUUACCCUAAGAGAACUACUCUAUAUGAUUUUCAAAAUCUAAAAUUUAUUUAAAUCGACAGAAAUUACACAACCAUUUUAUAUCCAGCCCUACUAUACGGAAUAAGUAUUCAUACAUUUUAUCAAUAAAAUAUUUUAAGUACUGCUGACAUGUAAAACACUGUUGAUAUAAGGGCCUCAUCUUCAAGGAACCUUUAUCUAGUUGAGUAGAAAACACAGAUGAACUAGUUCAAUGGCAGCACAAAGUGAAAUGUGAGAUGAUUUCAAAUGAGAGGUAUGGCCAAUAUGUGCUUGAAGGUCAAAGACUGUUUCUUGCCUGAAAUAGUCAGGUCCCUGACCUCAGCUAAAUGGUCCUUGAAGGACAGGCAAGAUGUGGGUGGGAGAGACUAAAGGACAAGUUUCUUCAGGUGGGAGGAAUGGCACACACAAACGUACCACCUGGGAAGGAUUCAAGCGUGCACACAGCAAAAGGGACCCACUUGGUGGGAAGGUUUUGUGGGGACAUUGUUAAAAAAAAUAGACUAACACAGAUAGUGUCAUUUGCUGGGAUAGAAAUAACAUCCUUUCUGAGACAAUAAUGCCUUGGCUGACACUGUGUCUAUAUGCAAUUGUGGAGGAGCUUAGUCACAAAUAAUCUUUCUUAUCUAUUUGCAUGAGUCAGGCUGGAGCUAGAAAAAUUGAUAAAAAAUUAACUCAUUAAAGAAGCAGGAACUCGCUCCUCAGGAAGUAGGAAGAGGAAUUAAGACGAACUCAAGCAGAUUGUAGUUAUUUGAGCAAAGGAGAAGCAGAGUCACAAAAUGGACUCCAAGAUCCUCCUACCUGGCGAAUAGUGUUCUGCUCACCUGCUUCAUGCCAAGAUGUUAAUAUCUCUGUCUACGGAAAGUCUGCUUUUAGAAAAGGUUUGCCUCUGAGAAAGGCCCUUGGUGAGCUGGAACACUCUGCCAGAUGGGUAAGUCUUAGAGCAAAAGAUGCUGUGUCCACACUGGUCUCUGGCUGGCUAGGAGAAUGGUACAAAUGGCUAAUGUUCUUCAUGAAUUUCUGUUACACAUCAUAGAACUUAUUCUAUAAGGACACACACUAAUCAUUUAUAGAGUGAGCUGAAAUCCCUAAAUAACCCAGGUGGAGAAAAUAACCACACUGGUGAAUACUCUUGUUAUUUAUCAGCAGGUGUACAUUCUAGACACCUGAGUCAGGCCCAGAGGGAGAAAGUUUCCUUAAUUUGUAGGUGGCAUAAGGAUAUUUCUGUCUGUCAUGCUCUUAAUGUGUCUGUCCUCUUCCCAAUUCUAAAGUGCAAAUGGCCUAACCCAGUCAGCAGAAGAAAAAUGCAGGUAUCAAAUUUAGCAUUCUCUCAACACGGCAUUUGUUCAUUCUAGCCUCUCCUUUUGCAAAUACAUCUUUUAGAGCUCUUAAUAAUGAAACUACUUACUUAUGUUAUUGAUAAUGGUUCCAAAACAAAUAUCAGACUUUAAGUGAUUUCAACCCUUCCUGCGCAAACUCUGGGACUUUCCUAGGUGAUAUAAGAGUACUGAGCUUUCUAGGUUAUGAGAACAUUGCAGAGAUAGGCAGAGUUAAUUUUUUGAUAAUUUGUAAUAUGGCUUCUAGGGUUUUUAAGUCUUAGAAGCAAUUUCUUUUCUAUGAAGGGUCUUCGAAAGUUCAUAGAAAAUGCGUAUUAUGAAAAAAACUAUGCAUGGAUUUCAAUUUUUUUUGCACCAAAAUAAACUCAUAUUAACUUGUUACAAUAUACCUGAAGAUAAUCUAGUUUAAGGCACUAGGAAGGAUAAGACAUAUACCAGGCAAGGUGAUUCACACCUGUAAUCCCAGAACUUUGGGAGGCUGAGGCGGGUGGCUCACUUGAGCUCAGGAGUUCAAGACCAGGCUGGGCAACAUUGUGAAACCUUAUCUCUACAAAAAAAGUAAAAAU
Chlorocebus sabaeus (green monkey) is the source of this 13447-nucleotide non-coding RNA. NCBI's taxonomy places the organism in Eukaryota, Metazoa, Chordata, Mammalia, Primates, Cercopithecidae. The record is from RefSeq and is a predicted model, not a curated record.